AGAGUUUGAUCCUGGCUCAGAUUGAACGCUGGCGGAAUGCUUUACACAUGCAAGUCGAGCGGCAGCGCGGGGCAACCUGGCGGCGAGCGGCGAACGGGUGAGUAAUGUAUCGGAACGUACCCAGUCGUGGGGGAUAACACAGCGAAAGCUGUGCUAAUACCGCAUACGUCCUGAGGGAGAAAGCGGGGGACUCGUAAGGGCCUCGCGCGAUUGGAGCGGCCGAUAUCGGAUUAGCUAGUUGGUGAGGUAAAGGCUCACCAAGGCGACGAUCCGUAGCUGGUCUGAGAGGACGACCAGCCACACUGGAACUGAGACACGGUCCAGACUCCUACGGGAGGCAGCAGUGGGGAAUUUUGGACAAUGGGGGAAACCCUGAUCCAGCCAUUCCGCGUGAGUGAAGAAGGCCUUCGGGUUGUAAAGCUCUUUCAGCAGGAACGAAACGGUAAGCUUUAAUAAAGUUUGCUAAUGACGGUACCUGAAGAAGAAGCACCGGCUAACUACGUGCCAGCAGCCGCGGUAAUACGUAGGGUGCGAGCGUUAAUCGGAAUUACUGGGCGUAAAGCGUGCGCAGGCGGUUUUGUAAGACAGAUGUGAAAUCCCCGGGCUUAACCUGGGAACUGCGUUUGUGACUGCAAGACUAGAGUGUGGCAGAGGGGGGUAGAAUUCCACGUGUAGCAGUGAAAUGCGUAGAGAUGUGGAGGAAUACCGAUGGCGAAGGCAGCCCCCUGGGUCAACACUGACGCUCAUGCACGAAAGCGUGGGGAGCAAACAGGAUUAGAUACCCUGGUAGUCCACGCCCU
Molecule: ribosomal RNA, 800 nt
Filed under: uncultured bacterium
Lineage: Bacteria
Description: bacterial SSU rRNA
Rfam family: Bacterial small subunit ribosomal RNA
Source: RNAcentral